Molecule: ribosomal RNA, 118 nt
Filed under: Solanum lycopersicum (tomato)
Lineage: Eukaryota; Viridiplantae; Streptophyta; Magnoliopsida; Solanales; Solanaceae
Source: RNAcentral
GAAUGCUAUUAUAUCAGCACUAACGCAUCGGAUCCCAUCAAACUCUUAAGUUAAGCGUGUUUGGGCGAGAGUAGUACUACGAUGGGUGACCCCCUGGGAAGUCUUCAUGUUGCAUCCC